GUUUUAAUAGUUUAAUGAAAACAAUGAUUUUGUAAAUCAUAAUUAGGUCACCUUUAAAACA
Molecule: transfer RNA, 61 nt
Filed under: unidentified
Description: Bochrus foveatus tRNA-Thr
Source: RNAcentral